GUUUCAGUCAGUCAGUCACUUCCCACCCCACCGCACCUCGAGACCUUUAAAGGUCUAGUAGAUGAUUUUCUAUGAAAAAUCAUCAAGGCUUUUGAGGAAAGGCAGGUGCGAUUGUUGUGCAAAAGCACUAAAGGUCCUUGGAGGGAACUAACAUAGACACUGCUGUUGGCCUGAAGCAGUGACUACGUUCUGCAAAAGCUAGUAAGAAGACAUCAUAGUUCCAGUUCCCUGCACAGCCUGUAUGCAGAAGAUUCAGUUGUGCCCAAAAGUGAACUGCAGAGUUUGUGGAUAAAGAUUUGUCUAACUGCUGAUUCAUGCAAAUGAUUUUCACAUAGAGCAGUUCAUAUGUUAGAAUACAAUAUUUAAACCACAUUAAAUGUAUUU
Molecule: non-coding RNA, 384 nt
Organism: Pogona vitticeps (central bearded dragon)
Lineage: Eukaryota; Metazoa; Chordata; Lepidosauria; Squamata; Agamidae
Source: RefSeq, a predicted model, not a curated record